RNAcentral lists this long non-coding RNA (306 nucleotides) under Olea europaea subsp. europaea. The record is from RNAcentral. Lineage: Eukaryota; Viridiplantae; Streptophyta; Magnoliopsida; Lamiales; Oleaceae.
AAAUGUGGUUUUUAUUGAAUUUGAAAUGCCAUGCCUGAAACAUAAAACUGAUAAGAGCACUAAGAGUGAAAUGAAACUAACUAGAUUCAACUUAUCAUAGCCUGAAAAUAAUGAAGUUCAACCUGCAAUCCUUUGACAGAAGAAAAUAAGGUGAAUUAUGAAGGAAAAGAAGUAUCUCAGCCCCAAGUGGCAAAUGAACCUCAAACUAUAGUUGAAUAUGAAAUAUAUGCUGAUUCUAAUAUAGACCCUUCAAUCGGUAAUUACCAAUUAGUCAAGGAUAGGGAAAGGAGACAAUCAAAACCUAAC